AAUAUUGGUCAAUGGGCGAAAGCCUGAACCAGCAAUGCCGCGUGAGUGAUGAAGGCCUUCGGGUUGUAAAGCUCUGUCGGGAGGGACGAAAAAGAGGGUUAACACUCCUCAUUGACGGUACCUCCAAAGGCAGCACCGGCUAACUCUGUGCCAGCAGCCGCGGUAAUCCAGAGGGUGCAAGCGUUGUUCGGAAUUACUGGGCGUAAAGCGCGUGUAGGUGGCGAUGUAAGUCGGGUGUGAAAUCCCUCGGCUCAACCGAGGAAGUGCAUUCGAUACUGUGUCGCUUGAGUACCGGAGGGGAUGGCGGAAUUCCCGGUGUAGAGGUGAAAUUCGUAGGUAUCGGGAGGAACACCUGUGGCGAAGGCGGCCAUCUGGACGGUCACUGACACUGAGACGCGAAAGCGUGGGUAGCAAA
Molecule: ribosomal RNA, 415 nt
Filed under: uncultured bacterium
Lineage: Bacteria
Description: bacterial SSU rRNA
Rfam family: Bacterial small subunit ribosomal RNA
Source: RNAcentral